AAGGUGAUCUUCACUUACCGUUGCAUUUGCAUGAAAGGUGGCUAUGCCAGUGAAGGCAAAGACAACACCAGUUCACUGGACACUGAUAAUACAUGAAUCUUUAACAAUCAUAAACCCAAAAGGAUUCUUCAUCUGCUAUGGUCAAGAGAAUCAUUUGAUUAUUUAAUAAUAUAGAUGAAUUUAACAGCUUAUCUGAGUUUAUGCAAAGCUGACCAAAUAACAAUUGUAAAAUGCAGCAUUCGCUGAGGAGGAACGGGCUGCUGCUUUUUCCCACAAGAAAGAUGAGAAUGAGGUUAACAAUAUGCAAAUCAAUACACCUCCACAUGCCAUUGCUUGUUCUUCUUGAGCUGUGAAAGCUUCUGCUCCCAGCUUUCUCCUCUCUG
This 383-nucleotide unclassified non-coding RNA is filed under the name Hevea brasiliensis (rubber tree). Lineage: Eukaryota; Viridiplantae; Streptophyta; Magnoliopsida; Malpighiales; Euphorbiaceae. The record is from RNAcentral.